UGUGAAGUGUGAACGCUCUAAACCAGAAUGUGAAAAGCCAACCGGUCCAUCACCGGGAUACGCUAAGAUUAUUAUGGGUUUAGCCGUGUCACCAACUUGAGUGCGGCACACGUACUGACACAACCACUCACGCACUGACGAUGCACAGGAACUCAUAAAAGCAACUGGCUGGGUUUCGUAAGACCCUAGCGCUUCGCUCUGCUAAAUAGCUCAUUGCUUCUUCUUCUUGGGUUUAACGUGCGUCCGGGCUGGUGGGUCUUUUCCUCUGUCUUCGCGGUAGAUUGCAAACUAUGAAACGCAAACAUCUUAGAAGUGGAAUAAGCCAGAUUAGCAAGAAAGGUGUGGAGGAGGAUGCAGCUACUCGAGUCACUCGGGGGGAUUUGAUAUGGGUCAGACUCAAUGGUGGCUCAUGGUGGCCUGCACAGGUUGCUGAUGAGAACACUGUGAAUGGGAGCAUUAAACCCAGAAAUAAAUCAGCGGGUGAAGUUCUUGUUAGGCUCUAUGGAAGCUAUAAAUACUUGUAUGUGGAUCCUGUAAAAUGUCAUUCUGAGUUUGAGUUAAUACUCCAGCAGAAUAAUGGUUGCCGUCGUAAAAUUUUUGAGAAAGCACUGGAGCAGGAUUGUCCCCGCUCAAAAUAUGGUAUAUCAAAGAGACGAGGAGCCAAAUCUAAGGAAAAUGUAGGAAUUGACGCAACUAGAGAUAAGUCCAAUCAAAAUCAAGUCAAGGAUCAGGAUAUAGAAGCCUCAAAUUAUGUAAGGGUUUCUCCAAGAGGGCAUCCUCCAACAAUUACUCCAAAAGUGAAGGUGAAGAAUGGAAGUUCCAGAAAAGCUGAGGAAGCAAAAAAUGAGGCCUCUAAGCAAGAUGGGAUGAAAAAGAAUCUUAAACCAAAUAGCUCAAGCUCUGAGGAGAGGGCAGCAGAAAAUAUAACCUCUAAACAAGAUAGGAGGUUGCAAAGGAAUCUCAAACAGUGUAGGUCAAGUGGUGCGGAAAAAACCUCUAAGCAAAAUGUGGUGCAGAAUAAACUCAAGCUAGAUAGCCCAAGCGUUCGGCCAACCAGUCGAAGGGCCAAGAAGGAGGCAAGAAUUAAAAUCUCUAUGCAAGGAGCACGGCAGAGUCUCAAGCGAAAGAGCCCAAGUAGUGAUGAACAACUAGAUAACAAAGCCCAUGAGCUAGAUGAUAUGCAGAAGAAACUCAAGCCAAAUAGCAGCAAAAACUUUAAGCAAGUUGAGGUGCAGAAUAAUCUCAAGACAGAGCAUGCGGGCACUGAGAAAGGGAAGAAAUGCAAAAUUCCUGAUCAAGAUGUGCAGAAAAAAUCUAAGCCAAAUAACCAAAGCACUGAGGAGGAUGCAAAAAUUAGAACCCGCAAGGAAGAUGAGGUGCUGAAGAAAAACAAGUUAAAUAGCCCAAGCUCUGAAACAACUUUAUUUGGAAAGUCCCAAGAACUUAGUGCCCGAAGAACGAAAGUGAUGCAAAGUCUUGGUCUGAUUGCUCCUUCUGGGUCACCAUUCCACAAAAAUGGAAACUUUUGUCUGAGUUUGUGCUAAUUGUUGGUACUGAGCCAUUAUUAUUCUGCAAAUUAGUUCUCUUGUAUUGUACAGUUUAAAACUGUACAAUGUCAUCCCCAGAGAAUGCCAAUUAAUAAGACUGGUAUCCCCAGAGAUUGCUAUACCAACAUUUAUGAUCGUGAUGAUCAUUAUGAUCAAGAUUACAUUGAGAUUUCUGUGGGGGGUCUCUAAGUUUUUAGAUCAUGUAAAGUUAUUGUUACAUUCGUGUGAAGCCUUGAAGAAGGGCAUCUUGGAAAUGAGAUGGAUAGUAUUUAUUUCAUGGUCAAUAUUUAAAGUUUGUACAUUUAACCGUGUACGUGAUGUCACAUUACUUAAUUGUUUCAAGAAAAAAAAAGUGCCAACAUUGAUAUCUUGUACACCGUUAGAUUAGAUGCACAAAUUUUAAAUCUUGACUAUGAAAUCGAUACAAUCCAUUUCAAAUAAAAUGGAGAGAUCCUAUUCCGGCUUGUAAUAUUUUUCUAUUGACUAAUGUUGCUGUUUACAUGACGUAUUUUAAGUGGGCU
RNA transcript from Alnus glutinosa, 2068 nucleotides. RefSeq lists it as uncharacterized. Lineage: Eukaryota; Viridiplantae; Streptophyta; Magnoliopsida; Fagales; Betulaceae. The record is from RefSeq and is a predicted model, not a curated record. The transcript is spliced from 10 exons.